GGAAUAUUGGACAAUGGGGGCAACCCUGAUCCAGCGAUGCCGCGUGGGUGAAGAAGGUCUUCGGGUUGUAAAGCCCUUUCGGUGGGGACGAAAAGCGGAAGGCGAAUACCCUUCCGUAUUGACGGUACCCACAUAAGAAGCACCGGCUAACUCCUCGCCACCAGCCGCGGUAAUACGGAGGGUGCGAGCGUUAACCGGAAUUACUGGGCGUAAAGGGUGCGUAGGCGGCUUGAUAAGUCAGGUGUGAAAGCCCUGGGCUCAACCCAGGAAUUGCGCUUGAUACUGUCGAGCUAGAGUUUGGUAGAGGGAAGUGGAAUUCCCGGUGUAGCGGUGAAAUGCGUAGGUAUCGGGAGGAACACCAGUGGCGAAGGCGGCUUCCUGGACUAAAACUGACGCUGAGGCACGAAAGCGUGGGGAGCAAAC
This 423-nucleotide ribosomal RNA is filed under the name uncultured bacterium. RNAcentral's name for it is "bacterial SSU rRNA". It matches the Rfam family "Bacterial small subunit ribosomal RNA", at positions 358 to 773 of the family's 1533-position model. The record is from RNAcentral.